RNAcentral lists this transfer RNA (71 nucleotides) under Marmota monax (woodchuck). Its description in RNAcentral is "tRNA.Ala". The record is from RNAcentral. Lineage: Eukaryota; Metazoa; Chordata; Mammalia; Rodentia; Sciuridae.
GGAGUUGUGGCUCGGUGGUAGAGCUCUCACCUAGCAUGUGUGAGGUGCUGGGUUCAAUCCUCAGUACUACA